UGCACUUGUAUAUGUUUUUGUUUAACUUGAAGACAAAGACUGACACACAGGUACAAAAAAUAGAUUAUCUUUUGCCACCCAGAAUUCAUUGAUCAGUGUGAGUUUUGAUACAUAAAAGCAGGGCUAGG
Oryctolagus cuniculus (rabbit) is the source of this 128-nucleotide small nucleolar RNA. Lineage: Eukaryota; Metazoa; Chordata; Mammalia; Lagomorpha; Leporidae. The record is from Ensembl.